This 485-nucleotide ribosomal RNA is filed under the name uncultured marine eukaryote. RNAcentral's name for it is "bacterial SSU rRNA". It matches the Rfam family "Eukaryotic small subunit ribosomal RNA", at positions 612 to 1095 of the family's 1831-position model. The record is from RNAcentral.
GUUGCAGUUAAAAAGCUCGUAGUUGGAUUUCUGCGGGGGCGGGGCGGCCGGUUGCUUAUAGCAACUCGAGCUAGCACUUCCCCUGCAUCCUGCCGCGAACCGUGCUACCAUUAGUUUGGUGGCGCCGGGGAUCGGCUCGUUUACUUUGAGAAAAAUAGAGUGUUCAAAGCAGGCCACACGCCUUGAAUAAGUUAGCAUGGAAUAAUGAUAAAGGACUUCGGUUCUAUUUUGUUGGUGUUCGGGACUGAAGUAAUGAUUGAUAGGGACAGUUGGGGCGGUCAGUAUUCCAAAGCGAGAGGUGAAAUUCUUAGACCUUCGGAAGACUAACAGCUGCGAAAGCGUUCCGCAAGGAUGUUCCCUUUGAUCAAGAACGAAAGUUGGGGGAUCGAAGACGAUCAGAUACCGUCGUAGUCUCAACUAUAAACUAUACCAGCUAGGGAUCGGCCGACGUUUACUUAUAUCGACUCGGUCGGCACCUUAUGAGA